UGUCUUUUUAGUUCAUCCUAUUUGAUAAUUCGGCGUCGUUAUUAUCCUCCCUCUACUACUCAGUUUUGGAGCUCUUUGCUGCAAAGAAAAAAAAUUUUUACCUCAAAAAAGAGUCUAAAAACGGGAGGAAGACAUCACUUA
Rattus norvegicus (Norway rat) is the source of this 141-nucleotide non-coding RNA. The record is from Rfam. NCBI's taxonomy places the organism in Eukaryota, Metazoa, Chordata, Mammalia, Rodentia, Muridae.